This is a long non-coding RNA of Triticum aestivum (bread wheat), 1574 nucleotides long. RefSeq lists it as uncharacterized. The record is from RefSeq and is a predicted model, not a curated record. NCBI's taxonomy places the organism in Eukaryota, Viridiplantae, Streptophyta, Magnoliopsida, Poales, Poaceae. The transcript has 3 exons.
CUCACGCCUCUCCUCUCUGCUCUUUAAUUACCGCAGCACACUGAGAAAAAUUGCUCAAAUAGCUACUUUCACCACGAUUUUGAGCGAUUUGAAGGCCAAAUCAGAAGAAGUUUUAGUUGAAGAAAAGAUAAAUCAAGGCAUGAUUUCAUCACUUUGUGGAGUCAUUUGGAGUUUCCGGAGUAGGAUUUUUCGUGUGAAGUGAACUACCAAGUUGAAGAUCAAGAUAUCUGUCGGACUAUUUUGAUGCUUAAUUUUAUUCGGAACUACAUCCAUAUUGAAGUUGAGGUAUAAAUGACGCCGUGUAAUUUUGUGAAUAUUUUUUAUAUUGGUGUACUAUUGUGAAUUAUGUUACUGGUGCUGUGAAUAUUUCUAAUGGAAAUACGGUUAUUUCUUUAGUCAUAUGAUAUUCAAAUGUUAUCAUCGUAUUAUUAUCUUUAAGGUCCAACUGAAUGAUGCUAAACAAAUCAAUUAUUUUCUAACAAAAAUACGGUUAUUAAAAUGUAUUCGCUCAUUUCAUUAUUUGUAAAUAAACUAUUUUUAUUGGAUUAUAUGAAAAUGUUAUUGAAAUGGAAAUAUAUUAAAAGUUUUAAUCAUAUCUUAUUCAAAUGCUAUGAUCAUAUUAUUAUGUUUAGAGUCGUACCGAAUGAUAUUAAAAAACACUGAUUAUUUCAAACUUAAAUAUGGAUAUUAAAAUGUCUUUGCCCUUAUUAUUAUAUGUAAAGUUUUAAUCAGCUUAUCAUAAAAUAAUCGAUUACUAAUUAUUUGAAAUGUAAAUAUGGAUGUUCGUUAGGUACUAUGGAAAAUUUGUUAGGGUUCUAUGGGGCCGUCGUACGCGACGGUCCUUCCGGGGUCGAUGUGUCCAUAUGUGGGUUGACGAGAGUGGUCGCGAAAGACAUGCUCAAAGUAGAUUAUGGGACAGUCAGAAGAUGCAUCCGAGCGGUGUAUUGUCCGUGAGAUGCAUGGAAAGAAAAUGACCAUGGAGGCCUUUGUUGUUGUCGGAGGGUAAUGAUGGUACGGUUGCCUGUUGGGGUCUACGGCCAGUCACAGGAGAAAAGUCGUGGGGGUCGUACAUGAGGUUUGCAAGCAAUCCUAGUUGCUCUAUGUUUGGACAACUAAUGGUGUAUGUGGAGUUCAUUUCUGUCAAUGAUGAUGCAAGAUGCAGUAGCGGUGGUGGUGAUGAGGUCGAGUUAGCCAUCACAACAGCCCCUAGCGCCGGCCACCACUAGAAACAGAGAAUUUGCCAUCAGUUAGCUAUUUGUCGUCUGCUAGCGGACGGAAAAGAAGGCCUUUGUCGUCUGGUUAUAAAAAACGGACGGCAAAGACAUAGCUGACGGCAAAGACACUAUUUGCCAUCAACCAGUCCUUUGCCGUCUGCUAGCAGACGGCAAAGAAAUGUUGACGUCCGCUAGCUGAAGGCAAAGAGGUGGGGGUGGGGUCCAGUGGAGGGAGGCUUAUUGCAAUGGCCCACCCACCUCUUUGUCGUAAGCUAGCGGACGGCAAAGAGGCCACUAACUAACGGCCCACCCCCUCCUCUCUCUCUUCUCUCUCUCUCUCUCUCUCUCUCUCUCUCUCUC